AAAAAAGCAGGGAUCUGUUACCAUUUGUGAACUGGUCUCUCGUAAACUUCAGGGAUAGAAAACCGCAAUGUUAUUGGGUGAACCUCAUGAGUACUGAUGAUUGAUGGUUCAGUAAACAAUGCUACAUUA
RNAcentral lists this small nucleolar RNA (129 nucleotides) under Olea europaea subsp. europaea. RNAcentral describes it as "Small nucleolar RNA snoR74". It matches the Rfam family "Small nucleolar RNA snoR74". Lineage: Eukaryota; Viridiplantae; Streptophyta; Magnoliopsida; Lamiales; Oleaceae. The record is from Rfam by way of RNAcentral.